CAGGGGGAAAGAUCCUGUUUGUUUUUGUGUGGACUGUCAACCAGGAAUUGGAACCUAAGUACCCAACCAUACCUUUGUUUAAAUCGUCAACAUAGAACUGGGUCAAGAGAGCAAUUUCACCAUAACUGCUGGACCUACAGUGUGGAAGAGCUUAGGCAGUAACAAGCACAAUUUGGGAUGUCCCUUGGAGUCCACCUCAAAGUAGAAGGGAAAGCGAGGAAACUACUCUGAAUUCAGAAUGGCAUGUUUGGGAGAAUGCACGAACUUCAGGGAACAUAUUCAGUAAGAAACCCAGCACUGCUCAUGACUUGGGACAAUGGAUAUAUCCUUGUGCAGUCUGGCAUGAUUGUGGUGACAAGAAACACCUGGUGGCAGAUUGUCUUCAAGAGGAAAGAACUCUGUGAAAAUCCAUCUUUCUCCUCUAGCACAUGGCUUAGACUCUGGGACCAGGGGAAU
Molecule: long non-coding RNA, 456 nt
Filed under: Homo sapiens (human)
Lineage: Eukaryota; Metazoa; Chordata; Mammalia; Primates; Hominidae
Description: HSALNT0024083
Source: RNAcentral